UUCAUUGCUAGUGCUAUCUCCAUGGCACGCUUCAGGUCUAUCUCAACUUCUGCAAGUAAAUGGCGCUGAAUGGCAUCAUAGUUUAUGCCACAAACCAAAGGAUCUCGCAAUAUGACGUUUAAAGUAUCACCAAAGUCACAGUGCCCUGUUAGCUGUUUUAACUUUGCAAUGUACAUUGAGGUUGACUCACCGGGGGCCCUUAUUUGAAAGUUAAACUUGAAUCUUUGCAUGAUCACAGAGGGUUUAGGCUGAUAAUGUCCUUUCAUGAGGUCUACUAGCUCGGUGAAGGAUCUGGAAUUUGCCGCAUUUGGACCCAUCUAUCUACGGAUUAGGGUAUAGGUUUUGCUCCCGCAGACACUUAAGAGAAUUUCCUUCUGUUUUUCCUCCAACAUUAUUUUGUUAGUUACAAAGUAGAAACCUAAUCGACAAAUGUAUUGACUCCAGUCUUCGACGGAUGAAUCGUAGGCGUCAACUCUACUGAAGAGUGACAUUGCUGAUGAUGUGCUCAGAUUGUGUUUCUCAAACCUUGUUGAUUGAGAGACCCCUUUUCCAAUGGAUUAGCGAUCACAGACUCCCCAAUAUGACCUAAAUUAUAAUACAACAUCAUACAAAAGCAUAUAAAGAGUGUUUUAAUAAUGCAAUCAAGAAAGCUGGCGGGAUUUUCCAGCCGCUAUGGCAGGCCUCGCCGCACGGGAUGCACCGGACCAGCCAAAACUCCAUUGACUAUCGGUAGGACCGGAAGAUCUCAAUGGCAGAAAAUCCUGGCCUCUAUAUUUAAUCAAAAGCCCUUCAUCUU
This is a long non-coding RNA of Carcharodon carcharias (great white shark), 796 nucleotides long. RefSeq lists it as uncharacterized. NCBI's taxonomy places the organism in Eukaryota, Metazoa, Chordata, Chondrichthyes, Lamniformes, Lamnidae. The record is from RefSeq and is a predicted model, not a curated record. The transcript is spliced from 3 exons.